GCAAACUUGACAGCAAUGUGGGAUGUGUGGCAGUCUAGGACAGGGGCAUAACCAUUACCAAUCUGUCCCGGGUGGUUCAUGAUAAUAACUUGAGCAGUGAAAUUACCGGCCUCACGGGCAGGAUCAUCCUUCGAGUUCGAGGCAACAAACCCCCGCUUGAGAUCCUUGACAGCAACAUUCUUGACAUUAAAGCCAACAUUGUCACCAGGUAAAGCCUCAAGAAGAGCCUCAUGGUGCAUCUCAACAGACUUGACU
This 255-nucleotide unclassified non-coding RNA is filed under the name Hevea brasiliensis (rubber tree). Lineage: Eukaryota; Viridiplantae; Streptophyta; Magnoliopsida; Malpighiales; Euphorbiaceae. The record is from RNAcentral.